CCUACGGGUGACAGCAGUGGGGAAUAUUGCGCAAUGGGCGAAAGCCUGACGCAGCGUCGCCGCGUGAGGGAUGAAGGUCUUCGGAUCGUAAACCUCUGUCAGCAGGGAAGAACGGUCACUGUGCUAAUCAGCAGUGAAUUGACGGUACCUGACUAAGAAGCCCCGGCUCACUACGUGCCAUCAGCCGCGGUAAUACGUAGGGGGCGAGCGUUAUCCGGAUUCACUGGGUGUAAAGGGAGCGUAGACGGCCAUGCAAGCCAGGGGUGAAAGCCCGGGGCCCAACCCCGGGACUGCCCUUGGAACUGCAUGGCUGGAGUGCGGGAGGGGCAGGCGGAAUUCCUGGUGUAGCGGUGAAAUGCGUAGAUAUCAGGAGGAACACCGGCGGCGAAGGCGGCCUGCUGGACUGCGACUGACGUUGAGGCUCGAAAGCGUGGGGAGCGAACAGGAUUAGAUACCCUAGUAGUC
Molecule: ribosomal RNA, 465 nt
Filed under: uncultured bacterium
Lineage: Bacteria
Description: partial 16S ribosomal RNA
Rfam family: Bacterial small subunit ribosomal RNA
Source: RNAcentral